RNAcentral lists this unclassified non-coding RNA (235 nucleotides) under Hevea brasiliensis (rubber tree). The record is from RNAcentral. Lineage: Eukaryota; Viridiplantae; Streptophyta; Magnoliopsida; Malpighiales; Euphorbiaceae.
ACUUUGCAGAGACCACCUUGCCCCCAUUCUGCAGUAAAAAUCAAUGCAAAAUUGUGCAAUAUAAGAUAAAUCAGAAAGAACUAACAGUCAAAUGAAUUGUAACAUCAGUUUGAAUCCCAAUGAAAAUCAGAAAUUCUACACACUUACUACAGAAGCACAGAUAUUGGACUGUCAUUUGUGCUCAGAAGCUAUACAGGAUUCGCUUACCUAUCAAUACUAGCAUAUAACUGAGCUC